RNAcentral lists this ribosomal RNA (460 nucleotides) under uncultured bacterium. Its description in RNAcentral is "partial 16S ribosomal RNA". It matches the Rfam family "Bacterial small subunit ribosomal RNA", at positions 338 to 795 of the family's 1533-position model. The record is from RNAcentral.
CCUACGGGGGGCAGCAGUGAGGAAUAUUGGUCAAUGGACGAGAGUCUGAACCAGCCAAGUAGCGUGAAGGAUGACUGCCCUAUGGGUUGUAAACUUCUUUUAUAUGGGAAUAAAAUGUUCCACGUGUGGGAUUUUGUAUGUACCAUAUGAAUAAGGAUCGGCUAACUCCGUGCCAGCAGCCGCGGUAAUACGGAGGAUCCGAGCGUUAUCCGGAUUUAUUGGGUUUAAAGGGAGCGUAGGUGGAUUGUUAAGUCAGUUGUGAAAGUUUGCGGCUCAACCGUAAAAUUGCAGUUGAAACUGGCAGUCUUGAGUACAGUAGAGGUGGUCGGAAUUCGUGGUGUAGCGGUGAAAUGCUUAGAUAUCACGAAGAACUCCGAUUGCGAAGGCAGUUCACUGGACUGCAACUGACACUGAGGCUCGAAAGUGUGGGUAUCAAACAGGAUUAGAUACCCCAGUAGUC